RNAcentral lists this ribosomal RNA (497 nucleotides) under uncultured bacterium. RNAcentral describes it as "partial 16S ribosomal RNA". It matches the Rfam family "Bacterial small subunit ribosomal RNA", at positions 28 to 507 of the family's 1533-position model. The record is from RNAcentral.
GAUGAACGCUGGCGGCGUGCCUAAUACAUGCAAGUCGAGCGAACGGACGAGAAGCUUGCUUUUCUGAUGUUAGCGGCGGACGUGUGAGUAACACGUGGAUAACCUACCUAUAAGACUGGUAUAACUUCGGGAAACCGGAGCUAAUACCGGAUAAUAUUUUGAUCCGCAUGGUUCAAUAGUGAAAGACGGUCUUGCUGUCACUUAUAGAUGGAUCCGCGCUGCAUGAGCUAGUUGGUAAGGUAACGGCUUACCAAGGCGACGAUGCGUAGCCGACCUGAGAGGGUGGUCGGCGGCACUGGAGGGGAGACACGGUCCAGGGUCCUACGGGAGGCAGCAGUAGGGUAUCGUCCGCAGUGGGCGAAAGCAUGACGGAGCAACGCCACGUGAGUGAUGAAGGUCUUCGGAUCGUAAAGCUCUGUUAUUAGGGAAGAACAUAUGUGUAAGUAACUGUGCACAGCUUGACGGUACCUAGUCAGAAAGCAACGGCUAACUACGUG